Molecule: long non-coding RNA, 2964 nt
Organism: Populus nigra (black poplar)
Lineage: Eukaryota; Viridiplantae; Streptophyta; Magnoliopsida; Malpighiales; Salicaceae
Exons: 2
Source: RefSeq, a predicted model, not a curated record
AUACAUUACACUUAAGUAAAUACUCACCAACCUCAGAGGCAUUUAAGAAAUCACGAAAAAGGAGAACAAGCUAGGUUAUCUACCUAACCACUAUAAAACCAAACUAAAACCCUAACACUAAAACUUCACUACGUGAUCUUAUCUGAGCAGAAGAUCUGGACUCUCAGUUAAGCCAAAACCCUCUCUCUAUCUCUUAAUAGAGCCACCCUCUAUGUUGCCAUGGCUGCUGGCGGCUCCGCCACUGAGGAAAGAGUGUGAGAGAUUCGGUUUUCGGUCGAUUUUGAGGUGUCCGAUUCCUGCGAUGAAGACUGCCUGCGGUCAGAGCCCGAUCUUUGUUCUUCGAUUGGGCAGUGAUGGCUUCGCGGGCUAACUCACAACCAUCAAUUUUUUUUUCAUUAUGCUUUUUCUUAGUUAUCUAUGCUUGAUUUUUUUUUCUUACAAGUAAAAUAUAGAAAAUUUUAUUUUAAAACAAGAGGGCUUGUUUUCUAUCCCCUCUCUAGCUAUAUUAUGAAUGUAUUUAAAAUUCUAUGUAAAUUCUUCUGUACAAGCAAAGCAUGAAUUGGAGUUCAAUCUAAUUUUGGAUUCUCGUAAUUUAUAAUGUUUGCUUUUGUCCAACAGGCUGUAGGUUUCUGCUGCUUGUUGCAUACCAUCAUCUGCAGGUAGUUUUAGCGACUUUCUAUGCCCGAAUGUUUGUGACUUGUUUUUCGUUUGUUAAAGGACAUUGUAGGUUUAAGUGUGAUCAAAUAAUGUAAACUUUCAGACUUUUUUACGGCAAGUUUCAUGUGUUUGAAUUAGAAUUCUUAAUAAGUGUAUAUUCCUUUCAGAUGUAUUCUGGUCUCAGAUGAGCAGUGACUCCAAUAUAAUAAACUCUUUUUAAUAGCUACUUAUUUUUUUUUAAAUAAUGAUGUAUUUGUUCAUGUUGAAUCCGAGAAUAUUGAUUGUAUUUGUUAAAAGAUUGCUAUGGUUGAAUUGAUUGAUCGGCUGACUUUGCUAGGCCGAGUUCUUAGCGCGAUAUAUUAGAAAGUGAACAAUAAGGAUGAGAGUUGGUAGAAUUAGUUGUGAUAUGGACUCUUAGAUUAUUUAUGCGUUUUUAGUUCCUAUACUUGCCAAUGGGAUAUAUGUGCACGUGCAUUAUACAUUUAUUGUUUUGAUAUAUCAACUAUAAUAACAAAUUGCUAUGUAGGUUUGGUUCACUAACUUGCUCAUAGACUAAAUUAUAAAAAGACAACACAAAUAAAAAAUUCAAUCAUUUCAGAUGGUGAUUAUGGCUUUUUCUAUCUUUUCUUUAUUGGUUGGUUUAUGGAGGGGGUAUAUUUGAACAUAGGUAGGCGGUAAUAAGAGAAUUGUUUGCAUUUGUUACAAUUGAUGCAUUUAGGUCUUGCAUGUACUAUAUUGAAUUAUAAGAUUUUGAUAAUACAUCUAUUGUCUAGAUGAGUUAGAUUUUUAUGACCAACUUUUCUUCACUAUCCUACACACCAUGUUUGUUAUGGUGGUGGGGGAUAUAUGGCUUUAUGGAAUGUGAAUGAUUGCUUACAUCUGUUAAUUGCAUGCAAUACUUGGGGAAUGAAAUCAUCAAACUCUUUUAUCAUAAAUAAAUUUGUUUCAAAGUAGAAGGAAGUGGAAUAUAGAUGAGGGAAUGAAAUCAAACUCUUUUCAUUUUCCUGCUUAUCCAUCUCUCUUCCAAGUCAUUCAUCCUGUAUAACUUCUAACCUCCCAUUCACAAUGUUAGGUUCUCAAGUUUCAAUUUUGGUUAUCUACUAUUGAGUUAUGCUUAAGUCUCAUGUAUGUGAUCCUUUACAUUGUUGAACAAUGACUAUAAGCUUUUUGUUAGUGUUAAUGGUACUUUGCCUUGACAGAGAGAUGAAAGAUGAUGCAUAAUAUUUUUUGUCAAGUGCUAAAAUUUCCACUCAUUGUUAUACAAUCCAAGUUUUUUACUUGUUAUGAUCGGUGGCGUGGUAAAUUUGAUGGAUUAGGAAUGUAGCAUAUAUUUUGGAUCAGGAGAGGUCUAGCUUCUGGAAAAUCCUUUGAAAGUCAGUUGCUUAUAUGUUAUUGUCUAACAUUAAAUAACUAGAAGAUAAUGGUUUUCCUUUGGAAUUAAUCCGGAUUUGAAACGCAUGAUGCAUGAUUUAUUUUUUCUGUUUUCGUCUGUAGGCCUGUGGCUUUAUAAUGUUGAUGUGGAAUAUGUUGGUAAUCAACUUUCACAGGCUUGUGGUAUGUAAUCAUGCUCUAUUGAUGAUCAAUAAAUUUUCAUUGCUAUAUGCUCCACUCCUUGGCUGUUAGGGUGGGAGAGAAUAUAUGGCUUUGAAGAAUUGCUUACUACUGUCGGUUGCAUUUAUGCAAUACUUCAAGGAAUGAAUUUAUCCAUCUCGUCUUUUAGAAAGACGUCCUGUUUUUUAGGCGUUUCAAACUAGAAGGAAUUGGAGGGUUGAUGUUUGAAUUGCAUUUGUUUUUCCUCCAAUUAGCUCCUAUAUUUCAUCCAUCCUAUAUAUCUACUGACUUUAAUUUCACGAUGUGAGGUUUGUCAAAUUUCAGUCUUGGUUAUUUGAUUGGAGUUGUGUACAAGUCCCUUGUAAGCAGUAUCCAAUUGUUAUGUAGAAAGCGAUGCUAGUGUUUCUUGACUGCCUGACAGUGUAGCUUUUAGCAUUUUAUUGGUGUUAAUGAUACUUGGCUUUGAAAGAAAGAUGAAGAAAGAUGAUGAUACUGUCAAUUGCUACACAUUGUUAGACAGAUCCAAUGAUUAUUAUAAACUGGGAUUGAUGGCCUGUGCUAAUGGAUCAGUGAAGGAGCAUGUAUUUUGGAUCCAAAGAAGACCUGUGCCAUGAAAAUUCUCCGAAAGUCAAUUGCUUAUGUAAUAUCUAUCGUCCGACACCAAAAAACUAGAAAAUAAGUAUAAUAAUCCUCGGAAAUUCAUCUGGGUAUGAAAUGGGCAGUGCUUGAAUAUUUUUUUCAAGCAUGUGUGGUUAA